CGUAGACCCAAGUCAACAGUCAAGUCAAUGGCAAGUUGCAUUGGCCAAGCAAUUAGGAGGCGGACUUUCUCUUCCAAAUUAUGGUACAUGAAAUCUCGAGAAAAAAUGUCUUUUUAGGUGAAAAAAUCUUUCUACCCUAAAUUAUUGAUAAGUUCUCUGUGGAAAUAAAAAAUAAAAAAAUAGACCCCUUUACCACGUCAGCAGUUUGUUUUUUCUCUGUAAAUCUGAAGCAGAUAGUUUGACUGGUCCAUAUGGCCAUAAUUUUCUGCUUCCUCCUCAUCUGUGGAUGAAAAAUGUAGUAUAAAGUGCAAUAAUCAGGAAAGUAAUGAUGAACAUAUACAAAAUUCAGCAAAAAGAAACGAAGAAAUUGUAUUUCAAAGUUUAUACUUUAUAGGAAAACUCUAAGGGGUCGUUUGGUCAUGGCAUGCUCUAACCUUGUCAUCAGUAGUAAGGCUUGUGAUUUAGGUCCCCAAAUUUGGAGGACUCCAUUUUCAAAAAAUAAUAGGCUUAUAGAUAUGUAAAAAUAAUAUUUGGUACUUUUAAAACAAAAGUACUAAAGUUUUUCAUAUAAAAGGAAAAAAAAUAUUAUAGAUAUAUAAAUAAAGUAACAAUUUAACUUACUUAAAAUGGGUAGAUGAAUAGUUUUUUCAACGUUUCCAUUGGAAUUGAUUUGACAAUUCAUUUUUACUCCUUCAUUAGAUAACGCGUGAAAGUUUGUUCAAAUCAAUCAUUCUUUUCCCCAAUCUAUUCGCUCCCAUUUGGCCAUAGAUUUUGGCUUUAUUUUUUCAAAAAAAAAUUGAAAACAUUGUUUGUUUAUGAAAUAUGAUCAUGUUUUGGGGAAAAAAAUUCAAAAUUUUUCAAGUUUGCAGUUUUUGAGUGAAAUUAUUUUUCCACUCACAAAAUAUCAACAUUUCUUCAAAUAAAAUGCAUGUCCAAACAUAACUUCAACUUCCAAAAAUAUUUUUCAAUACAACUUCAAAAAUUCUUUUUUCAAAUUUCAAUCAAAUCUAUGUCAAAACGCUAGCUUCAUAUUUCAGAAAUUCCUACAUAUAUAUUUUCUGUCUUUUUCUUUGAUAUUCCUACUCACAUUCUUUUUUUAAGAUUUCAUUAGUUCAAGUGUUCAACAAUACUUUUAAGCUAUUCUAUAAAAUCUUAUCUAAGAUCAAUAAUGUCUCAACAAAAAAAUUAACUGAGUUGGCUAUUUUAUCAUUUGAAAAUGAAUAAUUAGAGAAAAUCGAUUAUAAAAAAAUUAUUAACAACUUUGUAUCUCAAAAAGUUAGAAGAUUAGAAUUCAAAUAAAAAUAUAUAUUAUAACUUUUUAAAAAAAUAUUUAGGCUUCAUAUUAAAUUUAGGCCACAUGUGCUUGAGCCUCCCGUGCGUUUGGUUACCAGGAGGGAUAGACAAGGAUAUCCCAUAAGCCGGAUAUCCCAUAUAUUAUGGUGAAAUUAAAAAAUAGCUAGAUCUAUAAGUGGUAAUUGAAAAAUAGCCACAGUUUAAAAAAUAAUCAAAAUUUAGUCACUUUUCAUGCAAAGAUAAAUUUGAACGAAAACACUGUUCAAAAUUUGAAAAAUAUUCCAGCAUAAUAUACUAGAGUUCCAGUGUAAUAUACUGGACUUCCAGUAUAAUAUACUAGAGUUCUAGCAUAAUAUACUGGAAUUCCAGCAUAAUAUACUGGACUUCCAGUAUAAUAUACUGGUCCAGCAUAAUAUGCUGGAAGUUCAUACAUAGGUGCUCCAAUCUCCAGUAUAUUAUACUGGAACUUUCCGUGUGUUGGAGUUCCAGCAUAAUAUGCUGGAAGUUCAUACAUAGGUGCAACAAUCUCUAGUAUAUUAUGCUGGAAUUUUUAGUGUUGCAGCAAAAUAGUGGCUAUUUUCAAUGACUUUGCAAACGCUGGUUAUUUUUCAAUUACCAGUCCAAAAACUGACUACCCCGUACUAUUUUCAUCAUAGAUUAGCUAUCAUAUCUUUUACAUGGGAUAGCUAAUUCAAUCAUUUUGGUAUUAAAUUUAUCCCACCAGUAAAUAAUAUCCACCAAACAGGAAAUAAAUAUAAUCUCAUAUCCUUUCAGGAGAUUAGUAUCCUUAUCCUUAAUCUACCUACCCGUCGUUUUGACCGGCAUGUUAGCUUACCCAAAAGGAAAAGAAGUAAAUAUAUAGAGCGAGAAUUUGACUAAUAUAUUUUGUAGUUGAUGGGGUUUGAACCAUCCAACUUAAAUAUAGAAGACCGAAAAAUUUCACUCAUCCUCAAUUCUUUACUUUUUGGGUACUUACUGUACAUUUUUUCUUGUUUUAAUUACUUCCCUUUCUCUCAGCGUUGCUCUACUCAACUCUGCUAAACAGAGCGGCAAUCAUAAUUCAUAUACCAAUUUUUUGGACAUAAUAGAAUGCCUGCCUUUAUCUAAAACAAUUCAAACAGUUGGGAAAGAAGCAAUCUGGGCAAUGCCACAAUGGCCACCNNNNN
RNAcentral lists this long non-coding RNA (2459 nucleotides) under Nicotiana tabacum (common tobacco). RNAcentral's name for it is "long non-coding RNA (NTAB_LNC005314)". Lineage: Eukaryota; Viridiplantae; Streptophyta; Magnoliopsida; Solanales; Solanaceae. The record is from RNAcentral.